GGGCGCGUAGCUCAGUGGGAGAGCACUCGCCUUACAAGCGAGGGGUCGCAGGUUCGAAACCUGCCGCGCCCACCG
This 75-nucleotide transfer RNA is filed under the name Micromonospora yangpuensis. RNAcentral's name for it is "tRNA_Val_TAC". It matches the Rfam family "tRNA". Rfam says of the family: Transfer RNA (tRNA) molecules are approximately 80 nucleotides in length. Their secondary structure includes four short double-helical elements and three loops (D, anti-codon, and T loops). Lineage: Bacteria; Bacillati; Actinomycetota; Actinomycetes; Micromonosporales; Micromonosporaceae. The record is from RNAcentral.